RNAcentral lists this ribosomal RNA (393 nucleotides) under uncultured bacterium. Its description in RNAcentral is "bacterial SSU rRNA". It matches the Rfam family "Bacterial small subunit ribosomal RNA", at positions 505 to 898 of the family's 1533-position model. The record is from RNAcentral.
GUGUCAGCAGCCGCGGUAAUACGUAGGGUGCGAGCGUUAAUCGGAAUUACUGGGCGUAAAGCGUGCGCAGGCGGUGAGUUAAGUCUGAUGUGAAAGCCCCGGGCUCAACCUGGGAACGGCAUUGGAAACUGGCUCGCUGGAGUGUGGCAGAGGGGGGUGGAAUUCCGCGUGUAGCAGUGAAAUGCGUAGAGAUGCGGAGGAACACCGAUGGCGAAGGCAGCCCCCUGGGCCAACACUGACGCUCAGGCACGAAAGCGUGGGGAGCAAACAGGAUUAGAUACCCUGGUAGUCCACGCCCUAAACGAUGGCCACUGGGUGUUGGGGAAGCGAUUCCUUGGUACCGCAGCUAACGCGUGAAGUGGCCCGCCUGGGGAGUACGGCCGCAAGGUUAAA